GCAGAGCCCGCCUAUCCAAAGAAUUCAAUGAUAUCACAGCUGCCACUUAUGGGGGAUCUAGCCGCUCCUUCAUAGAACGCCUUCUAGCAAUCCAUGUUGAAUAUAUCCGCCUUGGAUAUGAGGUUCCCAACUUCAUACUCUUCGAUAAACUCCUCAACGGCCUCACCAAGGGCUGGUCCUCAUUUGUCAAGGAUUGUAUGGAUCAUGUAGCAAAGAAUGAUAAUACCAGACCACUUGAAGACAACUUUCUUGACCUUUGCAAAGAUAUAUUACUCCGCCUGCCAUUAGAUAACAAGAAUGCCAAUGCUGCUACAGGCUAUUUGAAGAAUGAUAAGAACAUCAAGGAU
RNAcentral lists this small RNA (347 nucleotides) under Histoplasma capsulatum var. duboisii H88. Its description in RNAcentral is "Histoplasma capsulatum H88 hypothetical RNA". Lineage: Eukaryota; Fungi; Ascomycota; Eurotiomycetes; Onygenales; Ajellomycetaceae. The record is from RNAcentral.